This 790-nucleotide ribosomal RNA is filed under the name uncultured bacterium. RNAcentral's name for it is "bacterial SSU rRNA". It matches the Rfam family "Bacterial small subunit ribosomal RNA", at positions 8 to 796 of the family's 1533-position model. The record is from RNAcentral.
AGAGUUUGAUCAUGGCUCAGAUUGAACGCUGGCGGCAUGCCUUACACAUGCAAGUCGAACGCGAAAGGGGGCAACCCCGAGUAGAGUGGCGAACGGGUGAGCAAUACAUCGGAACACGUCCUGUAGCGGGGGACAACCUCGAGAAAUCGAGGCUAAUACCGCAUACGAUCUACGGAUGAAAGUGGGGGACCGCAAGGCCCCACACUAUAGGAGUGGCCGAUGCCGGAUUAGCUUGUUGGCGGGGUAAAAGCCCACCAAGGCGACGAUCCGUAGCUGGUUUGAGAGAACGACCAGCCACACUGGGACUGAGACACGGCCCAGACUCCUACGGGAGGCAGCAGUGGGGAAUUUUGGACAAUGGGCGCAAGCCUGAUCCAGCCAUGCCGCGUGAGUGAAGAAGGCCUUCGGGUUGUAAAGCUCUUUCGGCCGGGACGAAAUGGCGCGGGGUAACAUCCCGCGUCGAUGACGGUACCGGAAGAAGAAGGACCGGCUAACUACGUGCCAGCAGCCGCGGUAAUACGUAGGGUCCAAGCGUUAAUCGGAAUUACUGGGCGUAAAGCGUGUGCAGGCGGUUUCGAAAGUCCGAUGUGAAAUCCCCGGGCUUAACCUGGGAACUGCGUUGGAAACUACGAAGCUAGAGUGCGGCAGAGGGGGGUGGAAUUCCAGGUGUAGCAGUGAAAUGCGUAGAUAUCUGGAGGAACACCGAUGGCGAAGGCAGCCCCCUGGGUUAGCACUGACGCUCAUACACGAAAGCGUGGGGAGCAAACAGGAUUAGAUACCCUAGUAGUCC